This 2263-nucleotide unclassified non-coding RNA is filed under the name Penaeus chinensis. Its description in RNAcentral is "uncharacterized LOC125047008, transcript variant X1". Lineage: Eukaryota; Metazoa; Arthropoda; Malacostraca; Decapoda; Penaeidae. The record is from RNAcentral.
AUGAGCCCGGGCGCGAGGCUAGACUGUUGCCGCUCAGCCUCAGUUCAUCCUUGUGUGUGUGCCGCUUGUGAGAGAAGACGAUGCGCCCCCAAAAAACCCUUAAAUAACAUGUGAAUAAUAUCUGUUCUGUGUCAGGAUUUACUUCCCUGGGAUUUUUUAAUGCAGCUUGUCCAAGAAAUUCCUCCAAAAAUGGCUGAACAAACUAAUACAGCUCCACGCAUUAAGCAGGAGCGGCUGGAUGAGAGGGAGAUCAACCAGCUUGCUCAGGAGAUGGUAGAGAAGAACAAGCAGAAGAUGAUCUCCCAGGCAGCGCAGAUUGCCCAGCAGAACCAGGCCUCUCAACAGGCUCUUCAGCGUGCUGGUGGUCAGCAGAUGAUCACCUUCUACUUCAAUCGUGACAAGAGCAGCAUUACGGCAAAGGAGGACUCUCUUGUCCCCAACAAAGUAGAGGAGAAGAAGAAAGGGACCAUUGAUGAGGAGAGCCAGAGAGGGCGCUUUGGCUGGUCCACGAUCCACGAUGCCCAUAUCCCAUACUUGUUCCGGCGCGAGGACAAGUACUGUGCCGUGAGGAUGGUGGAGACGAAGCUACUAAACAAGUACCUCAACUUCCUUCCGCACGAGAUCACCACAUGCAUCCACGUGAGAAGUUACUUCAUCACAGAGGGAGAGGCCAAGUUACUGAAUGAGAUCAACAUGAAACAUUGUGAAUUUCAAUUCGGACGGGACCUCUUCACGACCAAAGAUUUAGUAGUGAGACUGCAUGAUGCACGGUGCUUUUACAAGUUCCUAGAUACAUGCUUUAAAAAGCUGGUACAAAAGUCGCCCGAGCAGAGUGAACACUGUGGAUUUGUUAGAAUUAAUGGUGAGAGUGUUGUGCCGUAUACAGUAAAAAAUAAACAAAAAUACGUACCUCUGUUUUAUUUUGAAGGUGAAACUGACACAUUGAAAUUGAAAGCAGAAAAGAUAGAUAACUGGGAACUUGCUUAUCUGAAAUUUUGUUGUAAAGUUCAGGGUAUCAGAAACGAGCUGUUUGCAAGUGAUACUUGUGCAGUGGUUAGUCUUGAGGAUGUGCAACAGUAUUUCCCCAAAGACACGCUCUUUGAAGACUGGUGGCCACAGAAAACGGCAGAACCAAUGAAAGUGAAUAGUCCUGGCACAAAACUAGGUGGAAUCUGGACACAGAGACCUCCAGUAGGCUCUCCCAGUGCCCCUCAACAGACCCAUCUAGCCUCAUCAUCAACUACGUUAACACCUAUAGCAAGCAAACCUCCGUCAAUGCCUAUUGCCACCACCGCCAGCCAUAUCACCCCUGCGGUAGCAGCGGCGGCGGCAGUGUCAGCAGCAGCUGGCAGCCCCUCAAAUUCCCUGACCUCUCUGACCAAUUCUCUGAACUCAUUCUACUCUUGGGCCAACCUGGUGAAUGGCCAGGCAGUGGCUGCAGCAGCAGCAGCCUCCGCCUACUCGGGCACUCCCAACAUGCAAGCUCUUCUGUCUGGUCUCACUAUGGAGCAAAUGAGACGGUUACAGCCUCAAGUCUCGCUGCCAGCCACCACACCGCUAAUUCCCACAAUAUCUGCAUCACAAAAUACAGUUCGGCCGCCUCCUCUAGUUAGAUCUACUUCAGCGGCUGCCUCAUCCACCUCUACCUCUUCCAACAGUCGCUUGUCUGGACGUUUGCGUAACUCCUACUCCCUUUCUAGGGCCAGCAGCACGAUAGAUGCCACGCUCCGUCAGCUGGGGUAUCCUGCACAGAUUAGCCAGUCUGCACUGAAUUCUUUAGUUAAUGCUGGAAAUUCAGCUUUACAUUCAUACAACACCAGACAGACCAACAGUAGUUCACAUCAUAAUUCAUUGGCAAAUAGCAGCUCAAAAUCCAUGUCCAAAGCCCCUCCUCCGUUAAUUCCGGUGUCAAACGGCAUGCGACCUGACAAUCUAUCUAGUCAUAAAGGUGUGGGUAGAAACGGGCUCGACAAGCAGCGCCUGGCGGAUACCCCAGCUUUUAGACCGGACCCGACCAGACAAGAACCUCCCUACAAAGUCAGAAAGAAAUGGGUCUGAAAAAGGUGUCAGUGGGUGUGAAAAGAGUCCGAAUUUUGAUCUUCCAAUAAGUGCACGAACCCUUUGGUGGUUGACGGAAAGGCUGUACUCUGUAUAAACCGGACGGCCUACACUCACCAAAACCCCUCAGAUUACAAUAUGGUGGCUAUUCAAGAUGUGAUAAAGGAUUUCUUCCCAGCAGCAACCCUAACUGAAUGCAUUGAGG